This is a long non-coding RNA of Drosophila obscura, 1429 nucleotides long. RefSeq lists it as uncharacterized. The record is from RefSeq and is a predicted model, not a curated record. Lineage: Eukaryota; Metazoa; Arthropoda; Insecta; Diptera; Drosophilidae. The transcript is spliced from 4 exons.
AACGUUUAUUUAAGCGAGAGACUGAACAUAUAUGAGAGUGUGCUUGCACAUACAUACGUAUAUCCAUGGGUGCAAGUGCGAGUACAGUAGCCGCAACGGUGAAAAUAGCCGAAUAACCCUCAGACUGCGAUGCGGCCGCUAAGGAGAAUAACCGGAUCCUUGACUGAUGUGGACUCUACGACAGCGACGACGACGGUGACACGAGCACGUGUGCAGUUUGGUGGAAUGCCCCACCAGCGCCAGCAGAGGUACAACAGUUAGUUCCCCGACACUUGACCUCCAGGGAUGAUGCGCAUGCGCCGCCUGGUGCCGUUUGGGUAUCUUCCGUUGGAGAUCGGUCAUCCGGGCCUGCGCGUUUUCGGUUUAAUCCUACCAAGAGCUGGUGGCGCCAUCACAGUGCUGCCAGACUGUUCAAAAUAGAAGGAACGUCCGCGCACUGCGCCAUUCAAAUUUCGAAACAUCAGACUUCAAUACACCACAAAACACAACGGCAGCCAGCUCAUGUCUGACAACAAAAACGGCCUCCAAACAUGCGGCCACAUUUCAACACAUGCAUAUAUUUAACCUAGCAGCACAGCUAAACGUAAACUAAACCCAUCUGGGGAUCGAUCCCUACAUUUCGAGUCCAAGUUAUGUAGUACAAAAAUGUUUACUUUAUUGCGUUACCACGCUGUCCUAACCUAGCAGAAAGAAAAAAAAAAAAAAAAAGGUUGAGGUAAAAGCCAAACGCAUCACAUUUCCAAUUUAGCACGUCAGGCGCUUGCGUUGUUUUAUAUAUCAUCGUCCUCAUCGCACCGGCCACAUCCUCGACAACAUUAAUAUACACACACGGUCGCACAUUUAACUUUCAUUAAGUUAUAUUAAUAAAAAAAAAAAUGAAUUGUUUUCAUUUGUUGACACCGGCUUGGGCGGCUGGCCCAGAACACAUUUUAUUCAGAACGCAACAUCUUCUCCUUCUGACGCUGCAGCUUCUUCUUGGAGAGCUUCUUCUUUGCGGGCUCAUCGUCGGUGGCCUUCGAGACGACCUCCUCCUUCUCGGUAAGAAUGACCUCGACGUGGCACGGCGAUGACAUGUAGGGAUUGAUGCGACCAUGGGCACGGUAUGUGCGGCGACGCAGGCACUGGGCGCGGUUCACCUGGAUGUGGUGGACAACCAUGCGAUCGGCAUCGAGUCCCUUGCAGUCAGCAUUGGCCUCAGCGUUGCGCAGCAACUGCAGCAGGAAUUCCGCAGACUUCUUGGGCCAGCGACCCUGUGUGGUCUUCCACUGCUUGGCCUGGGCGCAACGUCCAACGCCGCCAUUGAAACGACGGAAGGGCACACACUCCUUCUGGUCGAUCACAGCCUUCAGGAAACGCUGGGCACGGCGCAGGGGCAUGCGCUUGAUGGCCUGAGCAGUCUCAUGUGUAUUCUGUGGACAAAAAUUACGGC